Dichomitus squalens LYAD-421 SS1 is the source of this 89-nucleotide transfer RNA. It matches the Rfam family "tRNA". Rfam says of the family: Transfer RNA (tRNA) molecules are approximately 80 nucleotides in length. The record is from Rfam. Lineage: Eukaryota; Fungi; Basidiomycota; Agaricomycetes; Polyporales; Polyporaceae.
GGGCACAUGGUGUAGUUGGUUAUCACAUCCGCUUAGCAUCUAGAAGAUGGAAUUGCGGGGGGUGCUGGGUUCAAUUCCCAGUGUGUCCA